Molecule: ribosomal RNA, 275 nt
Filed under: Vaucheria litorea
Lineage: Eukaryota; Xanthophyceae; Vaucheriales; Vaucheriaceae
Description: partial Bacterial large subunit ribosomal RNA
Rfam family: Bacterial large subunit ribosomal RNA
Source: RNAcentral
UUAGCUUAGGCGAAGCUCUGAACUAAAGCCCCGGUUAACGGCGGCCGUAACUAUGACGGUCCUAAGGUAGCGAAGUUCCUUGUCGGGUAAGUUCCGACCUGCACGAAUGGCGUAACGACUUCCCCGCUGUCUCCAACAUAGACUCAGUGAAAUUGAAUUCCCCGUGAAGAUGCGGGGUUCCUGCGGUCAGACGGAAAGACCCCGUGCACCUUUACUACAGCUUCACACUGGUAUUCGUCACGACAUGUGUAGGAUAGGUGGUAGACGUUGAAGCA